Long non-coding RNA from Oreochromis niloticus (Nile tilapia), 1911 nucleotides. NCBI's taxonomy places the organism in Eukaryota, Metazoa, Chordata, Actinopteri, Cichliformes, Cichlidae. The record is from Ensembl.
AAACUGGAGAACGUGUGCUCAGAUAGAAAGUUGUACAGGUGGGUCUGAGUGGGAGUUUAGACCUGACCGCUGCACGGUUCUCUAAUAAACACAGUCCAUAUUUAUAACACUGUGUGGGCUGAUGCAUCAAACUGCUGUGUUGGAGGAGCAAUGAUGCUCCUGCCUCAAACAUCGUCUUUAAUUCAACAACUUUCCAAAAAGACUAGAGGUGUGUUUUUUCCACAGCUGUCAGUCAUGAACCUGUGCGGUCUGCACGUGUGUGAACUGUUGCAUCUAGUGUGAGAAGGGUCCCACAGGUGGAAAGGUUGAAAGCCAGAGACCGCGUGCUGCGUGAGAAACGCUGUGUGCUGUGGUCGUGGCUGCAGAAAUGAAAGCAGAGCUGAUGAUGUCUUCAGUGGCUCUGCAGAGCUGUGGCACACCAGACCAGACCGAGUAGCCAGACAGCAGCGCAGCAGCUCUUCUGUUAAAGGCGCUUUUGUUCCACAUUUGACAGAACAGGAAACAUGAUGUGGUUUAGCUCUGCAGUCCUGCUGCUGCAACUUCUGCUGCUAGUACUCUGCCAGUGCCACUGUUGCAUGUACAGCUAAUUCAUUGUUCCCAGAUAACGAGCAGCCACAUCCUGUCACAUCCUGUUUACGACUCUUGUCCAGCUACUUGGUCCCAGAGAAAAAUAAUCAGCCAGGCCAAAGACGAAGGCCGUGCCUUUUACACCAAGCCAGAGCUUUUAUGUAUCUGUAAGGUCAACAUGUGUUUGUAAAUGUUUCAGAUGCAUUUACUGAAGUCUGUGUGCAGGCAGGCUGAAGGACCAUGCAGGCCUCAGAGGAUGAAGUCCACUGGUUUUCCUGGUUAUUGCUGUGUUUCUUUGACGGACAGCUUGUGAGGAGACACAGCAGCAGGGAUAUUUGGUCAUGACCGUCUCCGUUUAACUCUGCGAUGGAGUCAAGUAUGAGAGUUAUUGUCCUUCUCGUUGUGAUGAGAUUUUCUGCUUCUGAGGAAGUGAAGAAGAACCUGACGGGCACUGUGGGAGGAAACAUCACUCUACCUGCACCUGUGCUGGAGAAAGGAUAUCUGUUAUAUGGAAGAACGAUUAUUGCUGAUGUGAAAGGCGGGAUAUUUGACUUAUCAGAGGACAUUUACAAGAACAGACUUCAGUGGGACAGAAACUCUGGACUCUUUACACUCACAGAGCUGCAGAGGAACGACUCAGGGAUUUAUACUGUCGACUCUAAAACAGGAAACGUUUUCACAUCAUCAUAUAAGCUGACAGUGUACGACUCUGUACCGACUCCUGCAGUGAAGAAAGUGAGUGUGAGCUCUGAGAGCUGCUCCUUACUGUGUUUGGUGGACAGAGAGACCAAACUGCUGUGGUUUAAAGACGAGCAGAGACUGAACCAGAGCAGCUCUGCGCUCUCUCUGCCUCUCACUGUGCACAAACAGGACUUCAGCUCCUCUUACAGAUGUGUGGCUGCAAACCCUGCAGAGAAUAAAACUCUUCCUGUCCAUGUGAGAACGACCUGUGGAGACACCAACAACGACACCAACAGCUCGACUGAACCAAGAAGCUAUAACAUCCUCAUUAUAAUCUUCUGUGUCCUGUCGGUUGUGAUGAUCAUACUUGCUGCUUUUUUCAUCAAGUCAAAGUAUCUUCCCCGAAACAAAACAAAGACAAACGGACAGGCACAAGGCCCCGCAGGCACGCAGGAAGAGGUCCAAUAUAGUGAAAUACAAAUAACCAACAACAGACAGGGGGAAAAUUUACCAGAGUCAUCAACAACGAUCUACCACACCAACCUGACCACAGUAUACGAUAAGCUGGAGGUCCAUCGCAUGAUCACGGACAACGAUGCUGAAAAUACCUGAGACCAAAUGAGAAAUUCCCAACUGAGAGUUUCCAGAAAGAAAACAUUUCAG